GAUGAACGCUGGCGGCGUGCCUAAUACAUGCAAGUCGAGCGAACGGACGCUGAUCUUGCUGGUCUGAUGUUAGCGGAGGACGUGUGAAUAACACGUGUAUAACGUACCUAUCAGACUGAUAUAACUUCGGGAAACCGGAUCUAAUACCGGAUAAUCUUUUGCACCGCGUGGUUCAUAAGUGAAAGACGGUCGUGCGGUCACUUAUCGAUGGAUCCGCGCUUCAUGAGCUAGUUGUUAAGGUAACGGCUUACCAAGGCAACGAUGCUUAGCCGACCUGACAGGGUGAUCGGCCACACGGGAAGUGAGACAGGGUCCAUACUCCUGAGGGAGGGCGCAGUCGCGAAUCUUACGCAAUGGGGGGAAGCCUGACGGAGCAACGGCGAGUGAGUGAUGGAGGUGUUCGGAGCGUAAAAAUCUGUUAUGAGGGAAGAACAUAUGUGUAAGUAACUGUGCACAGCGUGACGGUAAUUAAUAAGAAAGCAACGGCUAACUACGUG
RNAcentral lists this ribosomal RNA (497 nucleotides) under uncultured bacterium. Its description in RNAcentral is "partial 16S ribosomal RNA". It matches the Rfam family "Bacterial small subunit ribosomal RNA", at positions 28 to 507 of the family's 1533-position model. The record is from RNAcentral.